This 484-nucleotide ribosomal RNA is filed under the name uncultured bacterium. RNAcentral's name for it is "partial 16S ribosomal RNA". It matches the Rfam family "Bacterial small subunit ribosomal RNA", at positions 30 to 507 of the family's 1533-position model. The record is from RNAcentral.
AUUGAACGCUGGCGGCAUGCCUAACACAUGCAAGUCGAGCGGAUGAAGGGUGCUUGUUCCUGGAUUCAGCGGCGGACGGGUGAGUGAUGCCUAGGAAUCUGCCUGGUAUUGGGGGAUAACAUCCUGAAGCGGGCGCUAAUACCGCAUACGUCCUGAUGUUGAAAGUGGGGGAUCUUCGGACCUCACGCUAUCAGAUGAGCCUAGGUCGGAUUAGCUAGCUGGUGGGGUAAAGGCCUACCAAGGCGACGAUCCGUAACUGGUCUGAGAGGAUGAUCAGUCACACGGGAACUGAGGCACGGUCCAGACUCCUACGGGAGGCAGCAGUCGGGAAUAUUGGACAAAGGGCGAAAGCCUGAUCCAGCAAUGCCGCGUGUGUGAAGAAGGUCUUCGGAUUGUAAAGCACUCUAAGUUGGGAGGAAGGGCAGUAAGUUAAUACCUUGCCGUUUUGACGGUACCAAAUGAAAAAGCACCGGCUAACUACGUG